RNAcentral lists this ribosomal RNA (492 nucleotides) under uncultured bacterium. Its description in RNAcentral is "partial 16S ribosomal RNA". It matches the Rfam family "Bacterial small subunit ribosomal RNA", at positions 29 to 507 of the family's 1533-position model. The record is from RNAcentral.
AGUGAACGCUGGCGGUAGGCCUAACACAUGCAAGUCGAACGGCAGCACAGUAAGAGCUUGCUCUUACGGGUGGCGAGUGGCGGACGGGUGAGGAAUACAUCGGAAUCUACUUUUUCGUGGGGGAUAACGUAGGGAAACUUACGCUAAUACCGCAUACGACCUACGGGUGAAAGCAGGGGAUCUUCGGACCUUGCGCGAUUGAAUGAGCCGAUGUCGGAUUAGCUAGUUGGCGGGGGAAAGGCCCACCAAGGCGACGAUCCGUAGCUGGUCUGAGAGGAUGAUCAGCCACACUGGAACUGAGACACGGUCCAGACUCCUACGGGAGGCAGCAGUGGGGAAUAUUGGACAAUGGGCGAAAGCCUGAUCCAGCCAUACCGCGUGGGUGAAGAAGGCCUUCGGGUUGUAAAGCCCUUUUGUUGGGAAAGAAAAGCAGCAGGUUAAUACCCCGCUGUUCUGACGGUACCCAAAGAAUAAGCACCGGCUAACUUCGUG